This 88-nucleotide microRNA precursor is filed under the name Choloepus hoffmanni (Hoffmann's two-fingered sloth). RNAcentral describes it as "miRNA (ENSCHOG00000014566.1)". The record is from RNAcentral. Lineage: Eukaryota; Metazoa; Chordata; Mammalia; Pilosa; Megalonychidae.
AUCUUAUUCCAAGCAUUCCAGUAACUUUUUUUGUGUAUGUACUUAGCUGUACUAUGUAAGUAGUUGGUUUGUAUGCUAUGGUUAAGAA